AAAUCGUACCCCAAACCGACACAGGUGGUCAGGUAGAGAAUACCAAGGCGCUUGAGAGAACUCGGGUGAAGGAACUAGGCAAAAUGGUGCCGUAACUUCGGGAGAAGGCACGCUGAUAUGUAGGUGAAGUCCCUCGCGGAUGGAGCUGAAAUCAGUCGAAGAUACCAGCUGGCUGCAACUGUUUAUUAAAAACACAGCACUGUGCAAACACGAAAGUGGACGUAUACGGUGUGACGCCUGCCCGGUGCCGGAAGGUUAAUUGAUGGGGU
This 269-nucleotide ribosomal RNA is filed under the name Escherichia coli. RNAcentral's name for it is "partial 23S ribosomal RNA". It matches the Rfam family "Bacterial large subunit ribosomal RNA", at positions 1639 to 1890 of the family's 2925-position model. Lineage: Bacteria; Pseudomonadati; Pseudomonadota; Gammaproteobacteria; Enterobacterales; Enterobacteriaceae. The record is from RNAcentral.